Long non-coding RNA from Vespula pensylvanica (western yellowjacket), 281 nucleotides. RefSeq lists it as uncharacterized. The record is from RefSeq and is a predicted model, not a curated record. The transcript is spliced from 2 exons. NCBI's taxonomy places the organism in Eukaryota, Metazoa, Arthropoda, Insecta, Hymenoptera, Vespidae.
CGGGAACGAGGAGUUAUGAACAGUGGAAAAAAAACGAAGAAAUACAAAGGAGACACAAGCGAAAGAAGGCGACGACACCCGAAAAUGAACGACGAACAAGAGGGUGAACUACGGACACCGAUAAACAAAGGACCAACGAACGAACGGACGGAAAUAGACGAAGAUGAACGAGCGGAAAAACGAAGACGUUUCUGAGAGACAAGAGAUUGGAAUGAACGAGAGGGUUAAAGAGAGGGAGGAAAAUAACGUUUAAGAAUACCGAAAGCGAAGGGAGAGAAAAC